UACGGAGGGAGCUAGCGUUGUUCGGAAUUACUGGGCGUAAAGCGCGCGUAGGCGGCUUUGUAAGUUAGAGGUGAAAGCCCGGGGCUCAACCCCGGAAUUGCCUUUAAGACUGCAUCGCUAGAAUCCAGGAGAGGUGAGUGGAAUUCCGAGUGUAGAGGUGAAAUUCGUGGAUAUUCGGAAGAACACCAGUGGCGAAGGCGGCUCACUGGACUGGUAUUGACGCUGAGGUGCGAAAGCGUGGGGAGCAAACAGG
This 253-nucleotide ribosomal RNA is filed under the name uncultured bacterium. Its description in RNAcentral is "partial 16S ribosomal RNA". It matches the Rfam family "Bacterial small subunit ribosomal RNA", at positions 524 to 776 of the family's 1533-position model. The record is from RNAcentral.